This 107-nucleotide non-coding RNA is filed under the name Flavisolibacter ginsengisoli. Its description in RNAcentral is "TPP sequence". It matches the Rfam family "TPP riboswitch aptamer (THI element)". Rfam says of the family: Vitamin B(1) in its active form thiamin pyrophosphate (TPP) is an essential coenzyme that is synthesised by coupling of pyrimidine and thiazole moieties in bacteria. The previously detected thiamin-regulatory element, thi box was extended, resulting in a new, highly conserved RNA secondary structure, the THI element, which is widely distributed in eubacteria and also occurs in some archaea. RNAcentral also lists the same sequence under 1 other name. The record is from RNAcentral. Lineage: Bacteria; Pseudomonadati; Bacteroidota; Chitinophagia; Chitinophagales; Chitinophagaceae.
UUCAGAUUCCCGGGGUGCUAAUUCGCUAUUAUGCAGAAAAGGCUGAGAUCAUACCCGCAGAACCUGAUCAGGGUAAUGCCUGCGCAGGGAGGCUUUGUUCGUUCAAA